UACGGGGGGAGCAAGCGUUGUUCGGAUUUACUGGGCGUAAAGGGCGCGUAGGCGGUCGUGACAAGUCACUUGUGAAAUCUCCGGGCUUAACUCGGAGCGGCCAAGUGAUACUGUCGAUGCUAGAGUGCAGGGAAGGGGACUACGUAGGUAAUUCGUCGGUGUAGCGGUGAAAAUGCGUAGAUAUCGAGAGGAAACACCUGCGGCGAAGGCGGGUAGCUGGGCCGACACUGACGCUGAGGCGCGAAAGCUAGGGGAGCGAAACGGG
Molecule: ribosomal RNA, 265 nt
Filed under: uncultured bacterium
Lineage: Bacteria
Description: partial 16S ribosomal RNA
Rfam family: Bacterial small subunit ribosomal RNA
Source: RNAcentral